Molecule: ribosomal RNA, 865 nt
Filed under: uncultured bacterium
Lineage: Bacteria
Description: bacterial SSU rRNA
Rfam family: Bacterial small subunit ribosomal RNA
Source: RNAcentral
GACGCUAGCGGCAGGCCUAAUACAUGCAAGUCGAGCGGCAAGUUGAGUAGUAAUACUUAGCCUAGAGCGGCGCACGGGUGCGUAACGCGUAUGCAACCUACCUUUUACUGGGGGAUAGCCCGGAGAAAUCUGGAUUAAUACCCCAUGGUAUCCAUGAAUCGAUUGGUUUAUAGUUUAAAGAUUUAUCGGUAAGAGAUGGGCAUGCGUCUGAUUAGCUAGUUGGCGGGGUAACGGCCCACCAAGGCGACGAUCAGUAGGGGUUCUGAGAGGAAGGUCCCCCACACUGGCACUGAGAUACGGGCCAGACUCCUACGGGAGGCAGCAGUAGGGAAUAUUGGGCAAUGGUCGCAAGACUGACCCAGCCAUGCCGCGUGCAGGAAGACGGCCCUCUGGGUUGUAAACUGCUUUUAUCUGGGAAGAAAAAGUCCAUGCGUGGAAAAUUGCCGGUACCAGAUGAAUAAGCACCGGCUAACUCCGUGCCAGCAGCCGCGGUAAUACGGAGGGUGCAAGCGUUGUCCGGAUUUAUUGGGUUUAAAGGGUGCGUAGGCGGCUGAAUAAGUCAGCGGUGAAAGACUUCGGCUUAACCGGAGCAGUGCCGUUGAUACUGUUUAGCUUGAGUGUUGGAGGGGUACAUGGAAUUGAUGGUGUAGCGGUGAAAUGCAUAGAUACCAUCAGGAACACCGAUAGCGAAGGCAUUGUACUGGCCAACAACUGACGCUGAGGCGCGAAAGUGUGGGGAUCGAACAGGAUUAGAUACCCUGGUAGUCCACACCGUAAACGAUGAUUACUCGCUGUUAUGGUGUAUGCUGUAGCGGCCAAGCGAAAGCGUUAAGUAAUCCACCUGGGGAGUACGCCGGCAACGGUG